AUGGCGAUCAAGAAGCCGUCCAAGACCGACAAGAAGCACGCGUACGACCAGAAGUUGUGCCAGCUCCUCGACGAGUACUCGAGGGUGCUCGUCGCGUCGGCGGACAACGUCGGCUCCAGCUCGGUCAUGCUCAUGGGGAAGAACACCCUCAUCUGCCGCUGCAUCGCGGCGCACGCCGAGAGGUCGGGCAACGCCGACGUCAAGGCCCUCAUACCCCUCCUCCAAGGAAACGUCGGUCUCAUCUUCACCAAGGGUGACCUCAAGGAGGUGCGCGAGGAGGUCGCCAAGUACAAGGUUGGGGCCCCUGCUCGUGUUGGCCUGAUUGCUCCUAUUGAUGUGGUGGUUCCCCCUGGAAACACUGUCUCACCCCGAUCUGAUGUCCUUUUUCCAUUCAUUCAGGUGCUUAACAUCCCCACCAAGAUUAAAAAGGGCAGCGUGGAGAUCGUCGCCCAUGUGGACCUCAUCAAGAAGGGUGACAAGGUGGGCUCAUCCGAGGCUGCCCUGCUUGCCAAGCUCGGCAUCCGCCCAUUCUCCUAUGGUCUUGUGAUCACCAAUGUCUACGACGAUGGGUCGGUGUUCAGCCCCGAGGUUCUUGACCUCCCUGAGGAAGACCUCAUGGAGAAGUUUGCGUGUGGUGUCUCCAUGGUUGCCUCGCUGUCCCUGGCAGUCUCGUACCCAACUUUGGCUGCUGCACUGCACAUGUUCCUCAAUGGGUACAAGAACGUGCUUGCUCUCGCUGUGGAGACAGAUUACUCGUUCCCCCAUGCUGAUCAGAUCAAGGAGUACCUCAAGGACCCUAGCAAGUUUGCUGUUGCUGCCGCGCUGUCUGGUGGUGGUGCUGCUGCGGCUGGAGCUGCUACUGCGGAGGAGAAGAAAGAAGAGGAAUCCGAUAGUGGAUCUGACGCUGAGGAGGGAUUCAUGAACCUGUUCGACGACUGA
RNAcentral lists this ribosomal RNA (939 nucleotides) under Triticum aestivum (bread wheat). RNAcentral describes it as "partial small subunit ribosomal RNA". The record is from RNAcentral. Lineage: Eukaryota; Viridiplantae; Streptophyta; Magnoliopsida; Poales; Poaceae.